CGAUAUUUCGCUCUACACGCCGUGGUCUGACUGCCCACUGAGUAGUUAAAUGGCCGCAGUAUAUUAACUGUGCAAAGGUAGCAUAAUCAUUAGUCUUUUAAUUGAAGGCUGGAAUGAAUGGUUGGACGAAAUACUAACUGUUUCAAGUAAAUUUUUUGUAGAAUUUUAUUUUUUAGUCAAAAAGCUAAAAUUUAUUUAAAAGACGAGAAGACCCUAUAAAUCUUUAUAUUUUUUUGUAUAUUAAUUAUAAAGAAUUAUUUAAUUAUUAUAAAAAAAAAUAUUUUAUUGGGGUGAUAUUAAAAUUUAAUUAACUUUUAAUUAUUUAAAUCAUUAAUUUAUGAAUAAUUGAUCCAGUUUUACUGAUUAAAAAUUUAAGUUACUUUAGGGAUAACAGCGUAAUUUUUUUGGAGAGUUCUUAUCGAUAAAAAAGAUUGCGACCUCGAUGUUGGAUUAAGAGAUAAUUUUGGGUGUAGCCGUUCAAAUAAUUAAGUCUGUUCGACUUUUAAAUUCUUACGUGAUCUGAGUUCAGACCGG
Molecule: ribosomal RNA, 534 nt
Filed under: Sapromyza intonsa
Lineage: Eukaryota; Metazoa; Arthropoda; Insecta; Diptera; Lauxaniidae
Description: partial 16S ribosomal RNA
Rfam family: Bacterial large subunit ribosomal RNA
Source: RNAcentral